Non-coding RNA from Macaca mulatta (Rhesus monkey), 8215 nucleotides. NCBI's taxonomy places the organism in Eukaryota, Metazoa, Chordata, Mammalia, Primates, Cercopithecidae. The record is from RefSeq and is a predicted model, not a curated record.
CAAACUUUGGGGGUCUUCACCCACUCUCUCCUCUCACAGUCUAUGAAUGGGCUGCUGAGGGUAGUGACCAGCCUUAAGGGCUGAUGUCUCCCUCAGGUGCCUAACACUAUGUUUGACAUAUACUUGGUGCUAAAUGAAUGUUAGUGAAACCCACUGAACACAAAUGUGGCACGGAGGCCAGUGAGAGGAGGACUGGAAGCAUUAGUGGAUUUGGCAAUGGUCAGGGGGAUGGUGUGCCAUUUGGUAGAUGAGUUUGGGGGACAGGAGAAGUGGGGAUGGAAGCUAGACUUCAGCAGGCUGAGGAGGCAGUUUUUUUGGGGUAGAGUUUGGUUGGGUGGGGGUGAUGAGGAAGUGGAAGACAGUGAGUGUCUCAAUUCCUCAUAAGAGUUUGUCUGAGACAAGAAGGAGAGAAAGUGCCGAGCUCACAUUUUGUGACUACAGCGUUUUCUAAGAAUUUAAAGGAACGUUUGUUGCUCCUCUUUCUCCUCGAAACAUGGCAUGUUCCUUGUAGCAAAGUUAGAAAAAUACAUAGAAGAAAAGAAACUUCUGUAAUUCUGUCCAUUAGAAACAUAUCCUGUGCAGCCUCAGAGUAAUUUCCUUCUGGACUUCUUCCAGCUUUGUGUUUUAGUAGAAAUGGUAUCACUUAGUGCAUUAUUUUGCAACGUAUCUGUUUCACUUAAUAGUUCAUGAAUACCUUUCUCUUGCCGAUGCUACUCUUCUUCCAAAACAUCCUGUAAACUUUUAUUGACCUCUCUAUCUCAUAUCUGGGAUUCAAAUGCUUUGAAAUCCAACAGGUACAAAGGCGCGUUCACGGGAAGGUUGUCCCUUUUAUUUUCUGCCUUGGAGCUCACUCAUUUUUGCUCCCUGGAGGCAACUGACACUCCCUUACAAGCAGCAAAUUUAGUAGUUAGAUCAUAUUCCAUUGCAUAAAUGUUCUGAUAUUUAUUUAUUUUUUAAUUUUUAUUCUUUUUUGAGACAGGGUCUCCCUCUCCAAUAUUUAUUACAAUAGCUUUCCAUCUUGAAUAUUUGGAUAUUGCUAUUUUAUUUUGCUAUUAUACAUAAGGUUAUGAUGAAUGUCCUUCUGGCUGAAUCUUUGCAUACAUACUUCAUUUUGUUAGAAUACAUUUUUAGAAGCAGAAUUUCUGGGUCAGAAGGUAGCACAAAUUAAAAAAAAAAUCCAAUAUCAGAUUUUUACCUCCAGAACAAUCUGUAUCGAUUGACAUCCCCUAGCAAUGCACGAGAAUGUUCGUAUCCCCGCCUAAGCCCUCUACCUGUGUUACUAAAACUCACUUCCUCAAACGGUGCCAACUUAGUGGGUGAAAGGUGCGUGCGAGGGCCUCUAAUCCUCAUUGUGAACUGAACUUUUAAAGGGUGCCAGUAAUAUCUUGGGGAAAAAUAGGAGACUAGGUGAUGGCUCCAGGGAGGUCAGCUCUGAGUCCCCAGGGAGGGCUGACCUGUGAGAAGAGCAGAGGAGACAAUCUAGUGUGGCUUGAGGUGGCUACAUUGCCAGUGGGUGCAAAGUCCAGGGACAGGAUUCUUCAUUUUUCAGAAACCCCCAGGUGGAAGGGGGAGGGCCCCAGGCCAUGAGAAGCAUGAAGGCCAUGAACGAUUCAGAACCUGAGGUCAAGGGACAAUUGGCACACAGGCAUGAUUUUUGUUUUUUCCCCUCAAAGAGACUAUGGUAUUCUUUUUCUGAUAACUUACUGGUGCACUAAAAGGGGUUCCUGGAACAGGCUUGGGGGUGCUGGUGGUGAAUGCUCUUGGGUGAGCAAAAUGCCCCCCUCUCUAGAUAGUUUGCCCCGUGGACAGGCUUGGGGUAGGAGCCUGUGUCCUUGUGUCCUCUGAUGCUGGGCUGUGCUGCUUGGGGAAGGGAGAAUAAAGACUGCUUUCAUGCACCCAGCUGAGAGUGGGGCAAGGGACACCAAGGGCUCCCUUAUUCAUAAACCCCAGAUUUUAGAAAGUUUGCACUGAAGGGUGAACCUGAACAUUGGGAAGAAUAGGAUAUUCCCUCAACAUUCACCUACCCUUUAGGUUUCUCUGAACAAUUCCUGCUUUUACCACAUCAGCCUCAAGGGCGAACUCCUCUUUGGUUUUUCUACACUGCUGUAGACAGGGCAAGUCUCUAGAUGACUUAGUUUCUUAAAAAAUGCAGGACAAAAAGGAGAAAUAAGAUAAUUUGACUUCCAAUACAUAGUCACAUGUCUUUGGGUUAGGGUUGCGAGAUGUCCCCCUGAGUUGUUUCCAGUCUGACUCUCAAGUUUGGGAAUCAAAAUUUUGUCCCUACCCCUCAGGGGCACCUACAAGGAACAUAAGCCUCCUUGACGUUCACCGUAGAGAGCUGGCACCAGAGUGAAACGGGCAGCUCCAGUCCACUCUCUGUGAAUUUGGAGUCAUACCUUGCUCUUACAGUUUUCUUGUCCCCCAGCUAUUAUUUCCUAUUGAUUAUGCUUCUCAAAUACGGUUUUAUCCAAGGCAUAGUUUUGGGCCCAGGUGGCAUUACCCCAUCCUGCACUCCAGCUGGAUUCUUCAUUAGCCUCUGCAUUUUGUCCCCUAGGGCUGCUGUGAAAGAUGACCACAAACUAGGUGGCUUAAAACAACAAAAAUUUAUUCUCUCACAGUUCUGGAGGCUGUAAGUUUGAAACCAAGGUGCCAGCAGGGUUGGUUCCUUCUGGAGCCUAUGAAGGAGGCUUCCAGUGGCUGCCAGCAAUCCCUGUUGCUCCUUGGCUUUUAGACACGUGGCUCCAAUAUCUGCCUCCGUCAUCACAUAGCCUUCUUUUCUUCUUUGCAUGUCUUCUCUUCUUAGGAAGACACCAACUAUUGGAUUCAGAGCCUACCCCAAUCCAGUAUGACCACAUCUUAAGUGGGAACAUCAGCAAAGACUCCAUUUCCAAAUAAGGUUACAUUCUGAGGUGCUGGGUGGAAAUGAAUUAUUUCAGGGCAACCAUUCAGCCCAUUGCAGUCUCUCUGACUUCAGACUCCUCCUUCUACCUGUCCAUGCUACGGACCCUGUUGGAGUCAUUUUUCUUAGACCUCACGCAGUGGAAGCACCCCACCCCUGUCUCAAGCCCUUCAAUGACUCCCCACUGCCAACAGAAUAAAGUCUUAUCUCUUUAGCUCAACUUGUGAAGAUUAACCAUAGUCUGGCCCCUGUGAUCUUUUCUACAUUCCAUUUCUCCAUUUCUCCUACACACUCCCUAUCAUCCCAUGGGAAAGGUCUUCUACGUUGUUGAACAUGCUGUGAACGCUCUUUUCUCCUGCCUCCUUCUGUCUGUUGCUGAGCUGCUCUUUUUCUCGAACACCCAUGUUAUAUAUCUUUCCUUGUUCAUAAGGAUGUUUCCAGCCAGCCCAUGUCAAAGGGCUCACCUAUCUUCAUAGACCAACCCUAGCCCACAUGGUGCACCAUUUCAGUCUGUAGUGUGGCUGUCCUCUACUGGUGACAUUUCCAUUUUCCAUUUCCAUUUUACCCAGGGGCAAGCCUGUGUGCCGUACUUCUUUGGGUCCUUGGUUUUGACAAUGGUGUUCAGACCAUGUGGCUUCAUGGUCAAUGAUUUUGUAUGCUGCUGCUUGUGUGAGCAUGCUGAAUUGCUCCAUGACUGCAGCUCCCUCUAAAGCCGAUGGAGAGCCCUGUGCUGAGAUGAAUGAGGGGAAAGGAGAAAAUUGUUGCCACUUUGAGAGUCAAGGGCAGUGGUCUUUCCAAGGAAGAGUGAACUAGUAGAAUCACUGCAGGAGAAGCAAAUUCUGGAGGAUGGAUGCCAAGAGGCACUGUAGGAAAAGUUGCAAAGAUAUAUGUGCGGGAAAUCACUGCUCCCAUCCUCCUUGGGAGACAACUGGCAAACAACAUAGUUGGCAAAGGAUAGGGACCGGGAGGGAAGUAAAAGAGGAGACAGAGUACAAUGAACAGAACAGAUGUCAAUGGCCUUAUCAGCUUUAACAGAUGAUCUGAAAACUUUAAAGUAACAAGGAAAUUUUUAUUCUCAUAAUUGUUAGUAGUGUCUUUUGCUAGCUCCUCCGACGUGACAGUGAUUGACAAUUGGCAGCUGGGUCUUCAAACUCAUAGAGUUGCAUCUCUAUGGGGACACAUGAGGAGCUUAGCUCUUCUAUCUGGAAGUAGGUGUCCUCUAAACUUUCUUGUGCUGUGUACUCUGUUUUUUUUUUUUUUUGACUGUCUCAGCUGCAUCAAAGCCCCAUUGACAUUGCCCUUUGGGAUCAAAAAGUAGUCCACCCGAGAAGAAACAGUAGAGUUUUAGAGAAUCGGGGUGAGAAUUCUGGGCAGAUGGCCAAGGUGUGGGCUCCAGGCUGAGCUCACUGACACAUGACAUUAUGUGUUUCAGGUACUGGGACAAGUUUCCAAUGUCAAAAUCUUUGAAGCCACCAGGGCCUUUUUUUUUUCGCUGUGUCUUGGCAGUACGCCUUUAUAUAGUAGUAGGUUCAGAAACUCAGGCUAAAGAAAGCAUCCAGAAAAGAUUGUCCGCCUCUGCAACAGUUUGUGGGUAGCUUGUAAUUGUAGUUCUGAUCUUGCCAAUCUGUCUUAUAACUCUAAAUGUGUGGUCUCACCUGGCUAGAUACAGAAAAUACCUAUCUUCUUAUAGAAGCAGGCAAUUGUCAACCCCAUUAAAAAAUUAUGGUUUCUGGACAUUCCAUCUAAUAGGAAUGCCAGUUUGCCUUCUGAUAUGUUGCCAGUCUGGCCAUUUCCGCAGUCACUAUUCAGCACUAGAGGAGGAAUUCAGUUAAAGUUCCUUUGUCAGUAAGUCUUCCAUGCAACAUAUUUAUUUCCAGGUCCUAAUGGCAAUUCCUCAGGAAAAAAAAAAAAAAAGAUCAACGCUCAAGUUUGAGUUUGUCCCAUUCAUCUACAUAAAGAAUAUCCAACAGUUUGAAGUGUCUUUUUGAGAAUCAGAAACCGGAGAGGAGAUAGGAGGCAAAGGUUGUAUUCUUCGAGAUCCUGCUCUUAAGCAGUGAUUCUUCUCUAGCACUCCUUGUUACUAGAAUUUUCCAGCCAUCUCUAACAAAAGCAAAGUACAAAGAGCAUUUAACACAAACCAAAACGUGAAACAAUCUUUUGAUGGUUCAGUGUCAUGACUGUGACUUCGAAUUUUUCACUAGAUUAAAAAAAAAAAAAAACCGCAUACGCCCAGGUAGUCUCUGCAUCAAGUCUGACACCAUUGCUCCAAUGUUAUGAGGCUGAAGCAAUUGUGGAUGAUUGAUGUCACUCUUCUAGCCGUUUCCUGUUUCCACAGAGAGAGGCUGGGUUAAUCCAACUCUAUUCUAACUUCGGAGGCAUCAAGGAUUCCAGGCAGUGUCUCCCGUGUUUCUUUUUCCAAGUGAAUUCCUGGAAGGAAACAAUGACGUCCAUGUGUCUUUGCAUCCCCAGGAACCAGUUCAGUAACUGGCACAUAAGAACACACUGAAAAAAAUUGUUUUGUUUUUGAACGACAGUGAUUUAAAAGUAGUAAGGGCCUCGUAAAUAUAGGACGUUGUACUCGUAUUUUUCUUCUGAGCAUACAAAUAUUUGCAAUGAGGUUGCACUGCAGACUCCAUAGCCAUUGUGGCACCUGGGGCUCUGUGACUUGGAGGCAGAGGAGAUGGAAUGCCAGCAAGAAGAGGGAGAUUGUGGUGUGGAUGUGAGGGAUAAGGGUGAAUUAGUUUCCUACAGCUGCUGUUACAAAUUUACCGCAAGAUAAAUGGGUUAAAACAGUACAGAUUUAUUAUCUCACAGUUCUGGAAGACAGAAGUUCAAACUACUGGUAAAGUUCAAAGUGUUGGCAAGGCUGUGCUCCUCAGGAGGCUCUAGAGGAGAACUUUUUUCUUGCCUUUUCCUGUUUCUAGGGGCCACCUGCAUCCUUUGGCUCAUGGCCUCUUCCUCCAUCUUAAAAGCCAGCUUCUUCAAAUUCAUCUCUAAUUCUGACACUACUUGUCUUGCUUCCCUCUCUCAUUUAUAGGGGCCCCUGUGAUGACAGUGAGCUCACCCUGAUAAUUGAGGUGAAUCUCCCCAUCUUAGGGUUAGCCUAUUAGCAACCUAAAUUCCACCUGCAACUUUAAUUUCCCCCUUGCCAAGCACCAUGACAUAUUCACAGAUUCUGGGGAGGAGGGCAUGAGCAUCUUUGUCGGGGCAUUGUUCUGUUCAUCACAGAGAAGCACUCAGACAUUCUGGAGUCCAGUGUCCUCAUUCUACACUUGAGGAAGCUUGGGCUCAGUGGUUUUAUGUUAAUUCCAACAGUUUUUGCCACAGGAGGAGGAGAAUGUCUGUCCAGGAGCCCUAAUCAAGACUCAGCAGGAAGCUGGUGGCUUCCUUUCCUUCCUUCCAGUUCUUCCUUCUACAUAUGGGGCUCAUCAUAUUCCCACUGACUUAGAUGCUGAGGGGCCAGACUGAAGGGACAGUGGUCAUUGCAUCAAGUCAGAGAACGGAUCUGACCCAUCUAGUUAUUCCUUCUACAUCUGUGCCUCAUCCCAUUUCCACUGACUUAGAUGCUGAGGGACAGACUGAAGGGACAGGGGCCAUUGCAUCAAGUCAGAGAACAGAUCUGACCCAUCUAGUAGAAGCUUUUGUUUUGGCAGAAGCACAAGCUCUUAGAGGUGCAGCUGCAGGGUGUGAUCUAUUGGGGACAUUGAGCUCAGUGACCAUGGGCCCUGAGAGUCUGAAAUCUUGGAAUUUCUCCCAAAGCAAAGUCCAUGUAGGGAAGCCAAAGUGUGAGUCUUACCUGGCUGGUUUACAACUGACUGACAUUUGCUGCCUGGGCAGCUGCUGUGGGUGCCUGGAAACCCUAUUGGACUAGGACUGGCCCCGGCAAAAAACAAGUGUUUCAGCUGCCCAGUGUCCUCUGAGUGGAUGCUGGUGAUUCUGGUAUGGAGCCCAGGUGUAAGGCAGCAGGUGGUCCAGGAGGCACCAGAAGAGGUCUCCUGUCAAGGUCAGGGCCAGAGAGGAAGGCACAGGGGAUCUACUGCAUGAGACUUUCACUUGCAAAGAGCAACCCAUGAUGAGGAGGGAGGAUGCCUGGGGCAUUGAGUCUCAUCCAUAAGGGCACUUUUUCCAAGUUACUUCGUUUUGUAUAGCUGCACAGUCCCUCACCCUCACCACUGUACCGAGAGCUGGCAGCUGACAAGAAUACAUCUUCCAACCAAGAUCCCUUCUGGGACCAAGGACACAAGGACCCAAGACCUUCUUGCUUGGAAAGUGAAUUUCUCAGAACUCCGAGAUGAUGCCAGUCUUGGAGGAAGAUGACAUGAGGACCCCAGACCUUCUUGCUUGGAAAGUGAAUUCCUCAGAACUCCGCGAUGACACCAGUCUUGGAGGAAGGCGAGGUGUUGAGAGAUGGCUGCGAUCCCUGAGGAAGGCAGCCACAGUCUCCGGUGGAGAAUUAUGAGGGACCCAAGCAGAUGGUUGGUGGUGGAAAUGUCACCUCAGUAUAGUACUAUAGAGUUUCCUUUCACCCCCAACAGCCGAUGGUUUCCAGGGGCGAAGAGUGAAAAUUGAAGCAAGGUGUCUACCGUCCAGCUGCAGAGAAGGAGGCAGGGCGCCUGCCACCCCCAAGGAAGAGUCAGUUCAGAAGCACAGCAGCUGCUGGAAACCCAGGAAGUUUCCAGUUCGUUCCUGCUGGGACCUGGCAAGAGUUGCACUGUCAAGGCUGCAAGAGGAAUUCAUUGUUCAUUUGGAAAAUGUACAACUCACCAUGGCUCUUUCGGCUCCUGACGGCUUCUGAUGUGUACAGACUGGAAUAAGAGAACCUAGCAGAAAUGGAAGCAGAGGCAAGAGGUCUGGAGGCCAGGAAAAUGUCAAUGGAAAGCAGCUAGCAUGAAGACCCCACAGUGUUCCUCCCUCUACUAGUCUGGUAUUAAUCUGGAGAUGCUCCCAAUAUGGUUGGGACGUUUGUCCCCUAAAUCUCAUAUGAGAAUUUGAUCCCCAGUUUGGGGGAUGGGGUCUGGUGGGAGGAGUUUGGGUCAUGAUGGGGACCCAUCAUGAAUGGCUUGGUACCCCGCUCACCAGGAAUGAAUGAGCUCUCACUCUACUAGUUCACUGGAGAGCUGGUUGUUUAAAGAGCCUGGCAUCUGCCCCACUUUCUCUCUUGCUCCCCCAUCUCACUGUGAUAAACCUGCUCCCCUUUGCCAUCGAUCAUGAGUGGACACUUCUUGAAGCCUUCACCUGAAGCAGAUGCCGACACUGUGCUUCAUGUACAGCCUGCCAUACCAUGAGUCAAAAUAAACCUCUUUUCUUUGUAAAUUA